RNAcentral lists this ribosomal RNA (270 nucleotides) under uncultured archaeon. RNAcentral describes it as "partial 16S ribosomal RNA". It matches the Rfam family "Archaeal small subunit ribosomal RNA", at positions 477 to 747 of the family's 1478-position model. The record is from RNAcentral.
CAGCCCCUCGAGUGGUGGGGAUGAUUAUUUGGCCUAAAGCGUCCGUAGCCGGCCGGGUAAGUUUCCCGUUAAAUCCAACGUCUCAAGCGUUGGACUGCGGGAAAUACUGCCUGGCUAGAGAGUGGGAGAGGUCAGCGGUAUUCUGGGGGUAGGGGCGAAAUCCUUUGAUCCCCGGAGGACCACCAGUGGCGAAGGCUGCUGACUAGAACACGUCUGACGGUCAGGGACGAAAGCUGGGGUAGCGAACCGGAUUAGAUACCCGAGUAGUCC